This is an RNA transcript of Cebus imitator (Panamanian white-faced capuchin), 2247 nucleotides long. It is a transcript of the gene named peptidyl-prolyl cis-trans isomerase G-like, with no coding region annotated. The transcript is spliced from 4 exons. The record is from RefSeq and is a predicted model, not a curated record. Lineage: Eukaryota; Metazoa; Chordata; Mammalia; Primates; Cebidae.
AUGGGAAUAAAGAUUCAAUGUCCUUGAUUUUUUUGGUAUUGCCAUUAAUAAUCAACCUGCUGGAAGAGUUGUCUUUGAAUUAUUUUCUGAUGUGUGCCCCAAAACAUGCAAGAACUUUCGCUAUCUUUGUACAGGUGAAAAGGGGACAGAGAAAUCAGCUCAGAAGCCAUUACAUUACAAGAGUUCUCUUUCACAGAGUUGUCAAGGAUUUUAUGGUUUAAGGUAGUGACUUCAGUGAAGGAAAUGGUCAAGAAGGGGGAUCUAUCUAUGGAGGAUUUUUGGAAGAUGAGAGUUUUGCUGUUAAACACAACAAAGAAUUUCUCUUGUCAAUGGCCAACAGAAUGAAGGAUGCAAAUGGUUCACAGCUCUUCAUAACAAUGAAACCAACUCCUGAUUUAGAUGGGCAUCAUGUUGCUUUUGGACAUGCAAUCUCUGGCCAAGAAGUUGUAAGAGAGAUGGAAAACCAGAAGACAGAUGCAGCUAGCAAACUGUUUGCAGAGAUAUGAAUACUCAGUUAUGGAGAACUGAUUUCCAAACCUAAAGUUAAGAAAGAAUAAAAGAAAAGGCAUAAAUAAUCAUCUUCCUCCUCCUCGUCUAGUGACUCAGAUAGCUCAAGUGAUUCUCAGUCCCCUUCUGAUUCCAAAUGUGAUUCUGAAGAGAAAUCAAAGAAAAGAAGAUACAUUGGAAAACUUCCUGAAAACACAAGAAGGAAAAGAAGAAGCAAAAGAAAAGCAAGAAGAGUGCAUCUAGUGAGAAUGAAGCUGAGGAUUUAGAAGCACAACCCCAGUCUACUGUCCAUCCAGAAGGGAUCCCUCCUAUACCUGAAAAUAGAUUCCUAAUGAGAAAGUCCUUCUAAAGCUGAUGAAACAGAAAGGAAAAACCAGAGAGAGAGAAAGAGAAAGAAAGUAUAAUCCAUCUAACUCCCAGUCUGCUUUGUACCAGAGAUGACUUUUAGUUACUAGAUCUGGCAGGAAAAUUAAAGGAAUAGGACCAAUGUGCUAUUGAACUCCUUCCAGAUCCACAUCAAGUGAUUAUUUCAGAUUUAGUGAGACUCUUCCACAUUGGAGGCAAGAGAUGCAGAGAGCUCAAAGAAUGAGGGUAUCAAGUGGUGAAAUUUGGAUUAAAGGGGAUAAGAGUGAGUUGAAUGAAAUAAAAGAUAAUUAGAGAAGUCCAGUUAUAAUAAAAGAGAGAAAAAUAACUGAUCAAGGAAUGUAUUUGAGAGUCCAAACAGAAAAAAAUGAAAAGGAAAAGAAAGUUAAAAACUGUAAAUCUAACAUCAAAGAGAGAGAUAUCAGAAGAAAUUCAGAAAAAGAUGAUGAAUAUAAGAAGAACAAAGUGAAAAAAAAGGGACAAAUCUAAAAGUAAGAGUAAGAGCAAAGAGAAAUCAAAGAGGAAAGAAAGAAAUUCAGAACAUAAUAGACAUGAAGAAAAGAGGAUGAGGUCAAGGGGUAAAGAAAGGGAUCAUGAAAAUGUUAAAAAGAAAAGUAGACAGAUUCUUAAGGAAAAGAUCAGGAAAAGGGUAGAAGUAAAGAGAAGUCUAAACAGUUAGAAUCAAGGAGUAAUAAGCAUGGUCACAGUAAAAGUAAGGAAAAAUAUAGAUGUGCACUAUCCAGGAGUAGAGAAUGUGAAUACAACUAAAAAUAAACACAGUUAUAAUGGCAGAACAGGAGAACAAAGCAGAGGUAGGGACAGAAGUGGAAGAGUGCAAUCAAGAAACUAUGACAGAGAUUGCAGCAGAAGUGAGGAGUACCACAGAUACACAGAACAGGAAUACAGGAGAAGAGGACCAUCAAAAGCCAAGCAAGAGCUGGAGAGAAGAACACCACCAGGAAGAUCAAGAAGUGAAGAUGGGAGGAGAAGAAGGAGAGAUUCAUGGAGCUCAGAGAGGGAAGAAAGUAAAAAAAGAAAGAAAAAUACAGAAACCAAGAAAGUAAGAGUUCGCACAGAAACAAAAUUCUGAGAGAAAGAAAAGAAUGUACAACCAGCUAAGAGGACACAACAGCUCAAAUAAUAGCGGGGGAAAAAAAGGCUGACAGUAAUCAAAGUCCCUCUCAAAAAUAAACCAAAGCAGACAGGGCUAUGAAUUAAAGUUCUCAACAUUGAGAAAGAAGGAGGAUAAGAAGAUCAGAGUCUCAGUGGUAAAAGAAAACCAAAAAUCAAAGGGCCAAGAAAAUGCUAUAUACAUGAAGAAAUAAAAAAUUUGAUAAUGAAUCAAGCCCUGGAACAGAUGAAGACAAAAGCGGAUGA